Lates calcarifer (barramundi perch) is the source of this 474-nucleotide long non-coding RNA. RefSeq lists it as uncharacterized. NCBI's taxonomy places the organism in Eukaryota, Metazoa, Chordata, Actinopteri, Centropomidae. The record is from RefSeq and is a predicted model, not a curated record. The transcript has 3 exons.
ACCAUGUCCACAUAAGUCAGCUGACAGGAAGCUUCAGCAGCACGUCUGAUGAAGACUGCAGGCUUGGCAGUCAAAACGUGUCAGUGUAGUUGAUUAAAUCGGACAAAAUGAUCCUCUUCAGUUCUGUUGUUUACAUGUUCUUUUCACUGUGAAUUUUAGUGCCCACGGUGCAAAGCAAGAUGCGGUUAACGUGCAUCUGUGUGCUGGAGACGAGGCCUCAUCAGUGAGAUGACAGAGAUGAUGUUCCACUGCUCAGUCUGCUACUUCCUCAUCCAGGACUCAAACUUCAACCAGCAAACCACAGAGAGAAGAGACCGACAUGAAGGAGGCACAGAACUUCAACUCUGCACAUGCUGGCUAGUGCCUGCAGCACGAUCAGUCCAUCCUGUAUCUAUCUAUGAUCUGCUCUCAUCAUUUUAACUUUUGUACCUAAUGUGUGUGUUGUUUUUUUAAACAACAAAUAAAAACAUUUUC